RNAcentral lists this ribosomal RNA (253 nucleotides) under uncultured bacterium. RNAcentral's name for it is "partial 16S ribosomal RNA". It matches the Rfam family "Bacterial small subunit ribosomal RNA", at positions 524 to 776 of the family's 1533-position model. The record is from RNAcentral.
UACGUAGGGUGCAAGCGUUAUCCGGAAUUAUUGGGCGUAAAGAGCUCGUAGGCGGUUUGUCGCGUCUGCUGUGAAAACUGGAGGCUCAACCUCCAGCCUGCAGUGGGUACGGGCAGACUAGAGUGCGGUAGGGGAGAUUGGAAUUCCUGGUGUAGCGGUGGAAUGCGCAGAUAUCAGGAGGAACACCGGUGGCGAAGGCGGUUCUCUGGGCCUGUACUGACGCUGAGGAGCGAAAGCGUGGGGAGCGAACAGG